UACUAAUGACAUUAUUGGGACCUGCUCUAGC
Molecule: non-coding RNA, 31 nt
Filed under: Rattus norvegicus (Norway rat)
Lineage: Eukaryota; Metazoa; Chordata; Mammalia; Rodentia; Muridae
Source: RNAcentral